RNAcentral lists this long non-coding RNA (2171 nucleotides) under Heterocephalus glaber (naked mole-rat). Its description in RNAcentral is "lncRNA (ENSHGLG00000040953.1)". Lineage: Eukaryota; Metazoa; Chordata; Mammalia; Rodentia; Bathyergidae. The record is from RNAcentral.
GUAAUAUUUCAUUGAACAAGGAGUUUUGUCUCUCUUCUUUGACUGUGAGGCAUGUAGUACCCCAAAUAUGAUGCUCUGAGUGUUGAUAUUUUAUAGAGUUUUCCCAAGUAAAUUCAAAGCAUGAUCAUGUUGUGACUUCCAGAGAAUGAACACCCUGAGUGCUGAUCCUGAUUUUGUAAAUGUGGUAACACGGUUCCCAUUUUGUAUUGGAAAAUUAUACUGAGCUUAGAAAAAAUGAAAAUGUAGAAUGAGAAAAGUAGAAUUGGGAAUAUAUCACCCCCUUUGUACCUCUGAGGGAAACCCAAGGCAGUUAUUUAGAUAAGUAUUACCAAAUGACUUUUUAAAAAUCCAUUUCUGUAUUGUAUACAGUAGUCUCGAUCUUGGCUUUGUGUUUUGUUCAGUUAACCCACACACCCCUCAGAGUUAGAUGUUAUCCAUGUUCAGUAAAUCUUUAGUCUGUUUUUAUAGGCUACAACAAACACAUCCUUCUCAUGAAAGGGACAGAAUACUCAGAGACACAAGACAGUUUUCUCAGUGACCCCAGUGGUCAUUUAACUAGUCAGCUAGCAUGGAAAAACUGGGAAGCACAAGUAAAACAGUAAAUUAUCCCAAAUCCUUACUGAGAUCCUUCCAGAUAUUGUCCCAUAUAAAUAUAUUUUUCCUUUAACAAGAAAAACCAUACCCUGGACACACUUCUAAUGCCCCUUCCCAAAAAAAAAAAAUUCAAGAAUGUCUUCCAUGUCAGUAAAUAAUAGAUCUACAUCCUUUAAUGAAUACCUAAUUGUGUUCAUUUCUCAUUGCUGUGACAAACUACCUGACAAAGGAGAAAAGGUUUGUUUUCUUUUAAGGUUUCUGAGGUUCCAGUCCACGGUCAGCUGGCUAUCAGGCCUGUGGUAAGGCAGAAAUAUGGCAGAAGCACAUGACAAGGGAAAGCUGCCUCACCUCGUGGCAGCCAGGGAGCAGGGAGAAGAGCCAGGGGGAAAAGAGCCUAUGAGCAGAUAAUUGCCAAAGUUACACCCCCAGGAGCACUCCUUUCCAGUAGGCCCUACCUUCUGUUUCCAUCACCUUCUGACAGUGUCAUCAGAUUGUGAUUUCAUCAGUGGGUUCAUCCAUUUGAUAAAAUUAGAGGCUUCCUGAUCUGGUCACCAUCCUCUGAACACAGAAGCUUUUGGGGGAACAUUUUAGGAAUGUCUUUGAACGAUGGAGGCAAAAACAUGAUAAAAUUCUCCUACUGAAGAAACCAAGGCUUCUCGUUGGUCCUGGUGCUCCCUGAGGCCCAGGCCAAGGGCAGAAGGUCCCCGAGGCCAGCUCUGCUCCCCUCACGUCUUUCAUCAUCGCAAGGGACAGCUGGGAACAGCGAGGGGCCCGUCCCCUCCUCCUGUCACACCACAGCUCUGAGGAAGUCACUGCUCGGCGAACCUCUCCGGCCUCACUUCCUGUCCUAAGGUGACCGGAGACCCAGCAAUGGGGCACAGGACCCCCUGUGCCCCCUGGCUUUCAGCCAUGGCACCGCUUCAGUCUGCUCGGCCAGUUGCUUUUGGUGCCCUGGCAGGGAUUAAAUAAAACGUGGUAAAGAACUGAAAUGCCCUACAGUCUACACAGUGCAAGUCACAUAGCACAAGUAAAAGAAUGGCACUAAGGGCGGGAGGCCCAGCUCGAUCAGAAGACGCACUCGAACUCCGUCUGGUUGGUGGUGGCUGGGUUGCGGCUCUGGUUGGUAGUCUGCUGGGUGAUCUGGCUGCCCUUCCAGUGUGGUGGAGCCAGGUACUCGAACAUGGACGUCAGGUGGGUGGACAACAUGCCCUUGAGGUCCAAGGGCAUGGAGUCGGACCAGAAGAAGUCGUGGUUGGCGUCAUCGCUGUUGAUGCGCUGUGCGGGGUCCAGGACCAGCAGCUUGUCAGUGAGGUCCAGGGCAUACAGGUCAUGCACAUAGGCCUUCAGCCUGUCUUUCGCCUUCCGCUUCUGGCCCUUGACCAGGUCCAGCUUCUCAAAUAGCUCGUACUUGUCCACAUUUGGCCACACCUCGGGGGUGAUGGAGCCACAGAGCUGGCUGAUGAGGGCGAGCUGGUGCCGCCCCGUGUUGCCCUGCAUGAUGGGGCUGCGGGUCCACAUCUCAGCCAUGAUGCACCCUGUGCCCCACGGGUCAAUGGGUGGACUGUAGUCCCGCUCCC